RNAcentral lists this ribosomal RNA (154 nucleotides) under uncultured bacterium. RNAcentral's name for it is "partial 16S ribosomal RNA". It matches the Rfam family "Bacterial small subunit ribosomal RNA", at positions 355 to 507 of the family's 1533-position model. The record is from RNAcentral.
UAGGGAAUAUUGGACAAUGGGUGCAAGCCUGAUCCAGCCAUGCCGCGUGCAGGAAGAAGGCCUUCUGGGUUGUAAACUGCUUUUGCCAGGGGAUAAAAAGCCCAUGCGUGGGAAAUUGAAGGUACCUGGUGAAUAAGCCACGGCUAACUACGUG